Molecule: ribosomal RNA, 450 nt
Filed under: uncultured bacterium
Lineage: Bacteria
Description: partial 16S ribosomal RNA
Rfam family: Bacterial small subunit ribosomal RNA
Source: RNAcentral
GUGGGGAAUUUUGGACAAUGGGCGAAAGCCUGAUCUAGCAAUGCCGCGUGUGUGAAGAAGGCCUUCGGGUUGUAAAGCACUUUUGUCCGGAAAGAAAUCCUUUGGGUUAAUACCUCGGAGGGAUGACGGUACCGGAAGAAUAAGGACCGGCUAACUACGUGCCAGCAGCCGCGGUAAUACGUAGGGUCCGAGCGUUAAUCGGAAUUACUGGGCGUAAAGCGUGCGCAGGCGGUUUUGUAAGACAGAUGUGAAAUCCCCGGGCUUAACCUGGGAAUUGCAUUUGUGACUGCAAGGCUAGAGUGUGUCAGAGGGGGGUAGAAUUCCACGUGUAGCAGUGAAAUGCGUAGAGAUGUGGAGGAAUACCGAUGGCGAAGGCAGCCCCCUGGGAUAACACUGACGCUCAUGCACGAAAGCGUGGGGAGCAAACAGGAUUAGAAACCCUUGUAGUCC